GGAGCUCAGCGCUAGAGUGCUUGCUUAGCAUACAAGAAGCCCUGGGUUCAACCCCCAGUAUUUCCA
This 66-nucleotide transfer RNA is filed under the name Camelus bactrianus (Bactrian camel). It matches the Rfam family "tRNA". Rfam says of the family: Transfer RNA (tRNA) molecules are approximately 80 nucleotides in length. Their secondary structure includes four short double-helical elements and three loops (D, anti-codon, and T loops). Further hydrogen bonds mediate the characteristic L-shaped molecular structure. tRNAs have two regions of fundamental functional importance: the anti-codon, which is responsible for specific mRNA codon recognition, and the 3' end, to which the tRNAs corresponding amino acid is attached (by aminoacyl-tRNA synthetases). tRNAs cope with the degeneracy of the genetic code in two manners: having more than one tRNA (with a specific anti-codon) for a particular amino acid; and 'wobble' base-pairing, i.e. permitting non-standard base-pairing at the 3rd anti-codon position. Lineage: Eukaryota; Metazoa; Chordata; Mammalia; Artiodactyla; Camelidae. RNAcentral also lists the same sequence under 2 other names. The record is from Rfam by way of RNAcentral.